GGCUCCAUAGUGUAGUGGUUAGCACGUUUGCUUUGCACGCUAGGUCCUGGGUUCGCUCCCCAGAUGGAGGCA
Molecule: transfer RNA, 72 nt
Filed under: Pteropus alecto (black flying fox)
Lineage: Eukaryota; Metazoa; Chordata; Mammalia; Chiroptera; Pteropodidae
Rfam family: tRNA
About the family: Transfer RNA (tRNA) molecules are approximately 80 nucleotides in length. Their secondary structure includes four short double-helical elements and three loops (D, anti-codon, and T loops). Further hydrogen bonds mediate the characteristic L-shaped molecular structure. tRNAs have two regions of fundamental functional importance: the anti-codon, which is responsible for specific mRNA codon recognition, and the 3' end, to which the tRNAs corresponding amino acid is attached (by aminoacyl-tRNA synthetases). tRNAs cope with the degeneracy of the genetic code in two manners: having more than one tRNA (with a specific anti-codon) for a particular amino acid; and 'wobble' base-pairing, i.e. permitting non-standard base-pairing at the 3rd anti-codon position.
Source: Rfam by way of RNAcentral